ACCUUGUGGCGCAACGGUAGCGCUUCUGACUCCAGAUCGUGGGAGAGCAAUAAACUUUAAUUUUUAAAAAGUUUUCUAAAAUUAGCAUGAUUUGAGUUUUGCUCUUCUAGACAAUCAAAACGGCAUUACUUGAAAUUGCCAGGAAUUAUGAUCAAAAAGUAAUAGCAUUUAAAAAUGGCAAAAAAAAAAUGAUGGCGUAAAAAACAAUGAGGAUUGUGUGUCCCUGAAGGUCUAGUGGUCAGGAUUCGAUUCCCAGUCAGGGAA
Danionella cerebrum is the source of this 264-nucleotide non-coding RNA. Lineage: Eukaryota; Metazoa; Chordata; Actinopteri; Cypriniformes; Danionidae. The record is from the annotation of a GenBank genome assembly.